UAUAGUGUUGAAAAAAGAGGUUGUAUAGUUGUGUUUUUAUUGAAUUUUGAUUCAAUUGAAUUGUAUCGAACUUGAAUCUUAAAACAAACUUCCAGAGUUGAUGAUUUUUUUAUCCAUCGCGUCCUUUUUUUGUUUUUUUUAUAAGGCUAAAAUCUAAUUCAAUGAUACACAAUGUAAUACCUUUUCUUCAAUUAAAGAAUUCUUGUAUAUGAUUUCAAG
Molecule: long non-coding RNA, 219 nt
Filed under: Medicago truncatula (barrel medic)
Lineage: Eukaryota; Viridiplantae; Streptophyta; Magnoliopsida; Fabales; Fabaceae
Description: long non-coding RNA (MTRU_LNC004144)
Source: RNAcentral